UGUGUUAUAUAAACCCGUUUCAUUUAGAAGUAGUAAAUCGUAAUACAAGCAUUUCUCGUUAUAUGUAUAUUGUACAUGUAUCUAUGUAUAUAUGUGUCCAGUGUCCAUCUAUAUUAUAGAUACCUAUGUAUCCGAGUACCCGUGGGAACGAGCACGGCGAUAGCACAUUAUGACAUUCCGCUGGGUGGACAGUUUUGGUAGCCACAGCGCUCGUUCCCAAACGGAGUCAGUCGCAUUCCGGCAGGAUAUCAUCUGUCCCCCCAUCUCAUGUACAUUAAAUAAUCGUUUUAAAAAGAAAAUUCGUUAUGGUCGGUUGUUUCGCCGAGCGCACUCUGUUUGAUUUGUCGUGUAGACGUAGGCACACGGCACUGCAUUAAUUACGGCACUGAUUAUUUUGCAGUAUUUACAUUUUACGUUGGUCACGAGUAAUCGAAAUAAUUGUUGCGAUCGCGGUUUUCUCGUCACAGCCAUAUCGACCGCAUAACAUAUUAUUAUUCUUCCGUCAUCGUUCUUCAGUCCUCAACCGCAGUCCUCGGUGCGAGUGGUUGGGCGCGUGACACGUUUUCACGACUAACGGCAUAGCUUAAUAUGUUAUAAUAUUAUUAUAAUAUACUGUAGACGCCAUGACAUCAUCGUAUUUGCCGAUUUUCAAUCGAUUGGGUUUGAACGCAUCGUAUUAUUCAAAAAUGGAAAAAAACUGGAAGAUUCACAUUAUUUCUUGCUACUCUAUGUUUUAUUUGUGCGGUUAACGAAGCCACUGGAAAAUGUGAAUUCUACGAUCGUCUACCCAACAAAAAUUGAACCACUACAACAGAGGAUUGUAAAUCAAAAAAAGAGCUGUCGUAUUGUUUUGCCAUUUGGGAAAUAAAAUCGAAAUUAAGUUUAAGGGUUGUACUUAUGAAAACUACUGCCAACUCACUGUUGUGAUGUAACCCUAAAAUUCUAUGGGACUCAGACCCUAUCAAUAUUAAACAAUACAUAAUUUAUCAUACACACAUAUAUUGUUGACUAAAAAUGUAACCUAACCUAUCAAAAUACAACAAAAUACUAGAACAACUAAACAUCAAAUCCAACAACAAAAACACUAAGCACAUCCACGUAAAAUACAAUAAUUCCAACCACAACAACCACAACCACUAUGUCAACCACGACAAUAUCUAGCACAACAUUACCAACCUCAAUGAAUCCAUAGCUAUACCCAUCCUGGACACAACUCAUAUACAUACUUAAAAUAUUUAAACAAAAUGUCAUAUUUAUAAUAAAAUUAAACAACGCGAACGAACACAAUAACAAAUUGAAAAAUACACACUUCCUUACGCCAUGUCCCAGCUUUCACUCGACAGAAACUGCCCGACUACAACAGAGGAUUGUAAAUCAAAAUAGAGCCGUUUGGGAACAACACGUUGUGCCAUUUGGGAAAACAAUAUCCGGUUAAAUAAAGUCGUAAUUAAGUUUAAGGUAAUAUAACUUAAUCAUUAUAGAAUUGUGUUUAAUUUUAUCAUGUUUUUAUAAGUAAAAGUAUUCGAAAAUCUUCAAGUGUAUUUUUAAGUUCUAAAAAUCAGAAUUUGUAUAAUUAUAUACACACAUAGCAGGGCCGAAUUAAGGGGGGGGGGGGUCUAUCCGGGGUGGAAACCCCGCGAUGCCCUCUUAAGUACCAAAAUGAAAAGGGCCCAAACAAUUUUAAGCUUAUACAUAUUUUUUAGUGAUUUAAAAAAAAAAGUUUUUCUACAUUUUAAAAACCAUUUUUUUUAUGGACAAAAACAACUAAAUAGUAAAUACCUACAGAAGUACUAUGUGGUACAAAAGACGCAUAUUACUGUUAUUUAAUAUUUUCAUUGAUAUCAAUAAUAUAAUCAAUAGUUAAUAAUGUUAUUUAUGUAGGUACGGGGAGAGCUUUUUCUAAAUUAACUAGAGUAAAAAAUAAGUAUAAAACCAGUCAAACCUAAGAAAACUGAGACAUACAAAUGAUUUUUUAAAAUCAUUAGACUUAAAAUAAGUACUAAGAGAGUUGGCUUCAAGUAAAGCAAGAAAAAAAAUGUAUUUGAUAAAAUGGUUUUUGUUUGAUAUUUGUUGUAAAUGAGUAUAUUGUUAAUAAAUUUAAAAGUUAUUAUGAAAAUUUGAAUUGUUCAAUAAAUCAUUACGAAUUGUUCAAUCCAUUAUUACGAAGUGUCGAAUCCGUUAUUAUGAGUUAUAAUUCAUAAUAACGACUUGUGAUAAUCCAUAAUAAUGAGAUAAAAAAAACAUAUGGUUUGACCUUCAACGCUUCCGUAGAUAUAGGCUAUUAUGGUUUAAGUGUUAAACUGUGUCAUUAUUAUUAUUAUUAUAUUUAAAUUUAAACUAUUUAUUGUAAAUCUAUAUAUUAAAUAUUAUAAUUACGUAUAUUUUACACUGUAUGUCUGUAGUGUACUGUAUAUUUAAAAUUAAAUUUGAAUUAUAUUCCGUUA
This 2444-nucleotide long non-coding RNA is filed under the name Acyrthosiphon pisum (pea aphid). RNAcentral's name for it is "uncharacterized LOC100574185". Lineage: Eukaryota; Metazoa; Arthropoda; Insecta; Hemiptera; Aphididae. The record is from RNAcentral.